This 95-nucleotide transfer RNA is filed under the name Deltaproteobacteria bacterium. RNAcentral's name for it is "tRNA-Sec". It matches the Rfam family "Selenocysteine transfer RNA". The record is from RNAcentral. Lineage: Bacteria; Pseudomonadati; Myxococcota; Myxococcia.
GGAAGUGGACAGGUCCUGGUGGGCCUCCUGGACUUCAAAUCCAGUGGCAGGCCGAAGAGGUCUGCGGUGGGUUCGAUUCCCAUGCACUUCCGCCA